This 31-nucleotide transfer RNA is filed under the name Gagea alexeenkoana. RNAcentral describes it as "tRNA-Phe". The record is from RNAcentral. Lineage: Eukaryota; Viridiplantae; Streptophyta; Magnoliopsida; Liliales; Liliaceae.
UUUUUUAUGGACUUUUACUGUUAAUUAUUUU